Molecule: long non-coding RNA, 2479 nt
Organism: Pogona vitticeps (central bearded dragon)
Lineage: Eukaryota; Metazoa; Chordata; Lepidosauria; Squamata; Agamidae
Source: Ensembl
CUUUUAUUAUGCGCCAUCAAGUCACUAGUACAUUUUUCAUGGAAGGAGGGGCAGGAUUUCUUCCCGUCCCCCAAAUUUCUUGUUCGAGGGUCCCCCCCCCACUGUUGUGAUUCUCUCUUAUUGUCGGCAGUGACAACUCCAGGGCUGGAGCGCAUCAUUUCUACUUCCAAAAGUGACAACGGGAAGGCCUUGGGAAGACCCGUUGGGGGGUCAACCUUCUCCCAAUCUGAUUCAGGCCCCGCCAUGGAACGUGUCCAUUUUUUCUCCUCCACUGAGGACAGAACAGCAGGGGGUGCCAAAAUUCCCACUGCAGCCAAUGGGGAAGGGGUGUCCCUGACCAAAGGUCUCCAUCAUGGUUGGACAUCUUCCUCCUAGGGAGAGCCUCACCUUACUCUGUCACAGGACUAUAACUCUGUACUCCAUUUGCUUUUUAAAAAGCUUUCUUUCCAGGGUUUAUCUUGGUAAUGCUAUUCUGUUUUUUUAAAGGUUUUUUUUUUAUAACAUGAAAUGUACAAUCCUUUUGUCAAUCAACAAGUCUCUCAGAAAUCCCAGCUAGCCUCAUUCCCUUGCAAGAAAUACCAUCCUCUUGUCUUAGGCUGAGCCGGUGAUCUAUUCCUCAUUGUAAGCAGACCAACAUUUAAGUGGUGUCUUUGGCUUUCUUAUUAUUUCCAGGUCUUGGGUGUUGGUGUAUCUUCUGUCCCUUUUUUGGCAUGAGAUAAAAGAAGAUGUUUUCCGUACCUUGUUACAAAAGGGUUAAAUUUACACACAGAGACACGGACACAUGGUGGGGAAGGAGGGGGGGACCUAACACGCUCCUGGCCUCAUUCUGUUUGGAAAGAAGACAUUGACACCCAGAGUGUCAUCCAUCCCUUUAUUGCAAAGAUCAUACUCUCACUUGGGUUUGUCUGUUCACAGCCGUCUCCUCCCUCCUCCUUCCCUCCCUCCUUCUCUCUCUCUCUCUCUCUUUUUCUCCUUUGCUUCCUCUCCAUCAGGAAGAAACAGCUUGGAGUGUUCUGCAGUUCAAACAUUAAGACUCUGAGAACGGCAUGGUCGAAACGCUGCGUUAAAACGAAAUCCACCGAAGUGAAGUCACCAGUCAAUCCUAUAAAGGCGCUAGCGAGAUCUAAAAUAAGGUUUAAAUUCAGGCAUUCUUCGGCCCGGCCGUUGAAAUCGAUGAGACUCCAGUUCCAUACCAGUUCCUUCCCUCCCACUGAUUUUCGACGAGUUUAGUCGAAGUCUGAAGCUCUGGAUCCACACCCACCACUCCCGCAGCUAGCAGCUGAUUACUGAAAUACGGAGGACGUGAGUCUCUAUUGCGGGCGGUCCUCCCCCUUCAGUUACUGGUGGCUCUCCCACGACGACUGGGGCCGGAUUCCGACCCUCAGCAUCUCUCAGCCGAGAAGACCACGGUGGCGUCUGAGCCCCAACGAUUAAGCCAGAAAGCCAGCCGAGUUUGCCACAGCUCAGACCCUUGGCUUCUGCUCUUCCUCUUUUUCUUUCUCUUUUUUAAAGAAAGCUGCCUCGAUCCACCACCAUCACCGGGACUCUGCAGGACCCCUUCACCGCCCACCGGAUUUAUUAUUUAUUUACGCUUUUACACUUGUAAACCGCUGGUUUGGAUGGCCAGUUCGGGUGGCGUACAAAACAGUCAAUGAUUCGGGCCGUUAUAUAUAUAUAUGUGAUUUUUAAUUUUUAAGUGGGCUUGAGGGAACAAUCCCUCAUAGGGAACGGAAACAGGCAUGCACUCCUCGGAAGCCCGAAUCAUUGACUGUUUUGUACGCCACUUAUAGGGAACGGAAACAGACAUGCGCUCCUCAGGAGCCCGAAUCAUUGACUGUUUUGUACGCCACCGGAAUUGGCCAUCCAGAUCAGCGGUUUACAAGUGUAAAAUGUUUGGGUUUUUUGUUUGUUUAACUUAUAUGCCGCCCACACUACCCAAAGGUCUCUGGGCGGCUUACAACAAUUAAUUCCUUGGGCACCGUGUUGCCCCCCCUCCCCACCUCUCACCAGCCCUCCACUGGCAGAGCCCCCAACCCCGUCCAUAUAUUCCCCAGAGAGGGCCGAGUUCCCCUAUGGCUGGGCCGGGAAGAGGGGAGCGGGAUUUGUCAAGGCUGCAGCGUCGCUCAAUAGAGCCUGUGCGGACGGAGGCUCUGUCCGUCCCAAAGCCUCGUACAGCCGCGUCCCCCUGCAUGCAAUGCAGUGGUUCGUUAAAAAAAAGAGCCGCCAUCUGGGUGAGGGUCUCUGGCGGAGGGGAAGGGAGGGGUGUGCUGUGAGGAGGAAGGGAGGGAGCACAAAUCCGAGGGGACUGCUCAUGUUUUAUAGAAGGCGACGGGAUCCCUAGUCCGAAAAGGUUAACUCUUUCUACCGGGUGAACUCGAGUUAAUAUUCAUAGGCAUCGGUUAAUUUAAUAUUUUAUAAAACAAAUGUGAAUUUCAUCAAUGAAUUUAUUCAAUAAAUGUGAAUUUCGUCAAUGAGUCCA